UGGGGUAUAUUGGACAAUGGGCGAAAGCCUGAUCCAGCCAUGCCGCGUGUGUGAAGAAGGUCUUCGGAUUGUAAAGCACUUUAAGUUGGGAGGAAGGGCAGUAAGCGAAUACCUUGCUGUUUUGACGUUACCGACAGAAUAAGCACCGGCUAACUCUGUGCCAGCAGCCGCGGUAAUACAGAGGGUGCAAGCGUUAAUCGGAAUUACUGGGCGUAAAGCGCGCGUAGGUGGUUCGUUAAGUUGAAUGUGAAAGCCCCGGGCUCAACCUGGGAACGGCAUCCAAAACUGGCGGGCUAGAGUAGGGCAGAGGGUGGUGGAAUUUCCUGUGUAGCGGUGAAAUGCGUAGAUAUAGGAAGGAACACCAGUGGCGAAGGCGACCACCUGGGCUCAUACUGACACUGAGGUGCGAAAGCGUGGGGAGCAAACAGG
This 429-nucleotide ribosomal RNA is filed under the name Pseudomonadota bacterium. Its description in RNAcentral is "Proteobacteria bacterium partial 16S ribosomal RNA". It matches the Rfam family "Bacterial small subunit ribosomal RNA", at positions 355 to 776 of the family's 1533-position model. Lineage: Bacteria; Pseudomonadati; Pseudomonadota. The record is from RNAcentral.